Molecule: ribosomal RNA, 399 nt
Filed under: Triticum aestivum (bread wheat)
Lineage: Eukaryota; Viridiplantae; Streptophyta; Magnoliopsida; Poales; Poaceae
Description: partial small subunit ribosomal RNA
Source: RNAcentral
AUGGUCGCCGCCGCCGGCGAACAGCUGGAAGAAAUCAACGUGUGCUCAUACUCCUUCACCUCCGUCGAGCGAGCACCGCACAAGUGCCGCAACAGAGCGGCGAAGAAGACCACAGCAAUGAAGACGGUGAUGAAAAUCGUGGUUGCACUAGCAUCGAUGGAGCUGAUAUACGCCAUGCAAAUGGAAUGGAGGACGAUAAGGCGAGGACGUACGGUAGGUGCCCAGCUUCACCAACUGGGGCUAGUUAGUGCAUAUGAUUGUACUGUGAUUAUGAGCUACUUAUGGAAUGUGUGGCGAUGUUUCCAAGACGUGGUACGGUCGAAGCGACAAAGAAAUGGCUUUGGUCUCUCCGUUUCUUGUCAGCAGAUAGCAAAGUUGAUCAUACAUUCGAUUUUUUAA